Molecule: transfer RNA, 69 nt
Filed under: Raphicerus campestris (steenbok)
Lineage: Eukaryota; Metazoa; Chordata; Mammalia; Artiodactyla; Bovidae
Description: tRNA-Thr
Rfam family: tRNA
About the family: Transfer RNA (tRNA) molecules are approximately 80 nucleotides in length.
Source: RNAcentral
GUCUUUGUAGUACACUAAGUAUACUGGUCUUGUAAACCAGAGAUGGAGAACAAAUACCUCCCUGAGACU